AGCCCUGCAGUGGGAUAGGGCCACAGGGGGAUCAGUGCCUCCCACAGCAUGCCAGGGCUGCAAGCCCAGACACUGUCUGAUGGGUUUAUGAAUGCGCCCAUGGUGCCACGGGCCGGAGCCAUGCCGGCGGCUCCGGGCUCCAGGCUGGAAGCAGUGUUGGUGUGCCAGGCAGAGGGGACGUGGCUGUGUUUACAGCUGUUUUGGAUACGUCUCAUCUGAACACGUAUACAGCUGUCCUGGAUACAUGUAAUCACUGCUCACCAACAUGAUGGUUAAUCUAAACACCUUCCACUUCACUGGGCAAAACAACCACUGCCUGCUGCAGGAACCCGUUUGCUUUGGGAGCAGGGAGGUGUUGCUGUGGGAAGACACUUAACUCUUACAAAUCUGUUGAUGUUCCUCCACCCGCCUUCUGGUCCUCUGUGUAAAGGCAGAGCUCGUGCUGCUUUCAGGGGUCCCAUGCCCACAGUGCCUGAGGUUGGCGGUGGGCUCCGAGUGAACACUUGGGGUGCUCGUCAUUGCUUAGUGUGCAGUGCAGUGUAUCAGAGAAGCAGGGGAUGCUGCAGGCACCUGGGGUGAGCUCUGGAUGCUGCUACUGAUGGUGACCAGCCUAAUAGAAGUGGCAAACCAGUUCAAGCAGUCCUUUUUCACACAUUUUUCCCUUUUCCCAAAAAUCUUGGGAUUUUUAAGCCAGAGAUGUUGUCCUUGUACUUGAAUGGCACUUGCUGGAUCUUGCUUCCAGUUUUCCCUCCUCCUAAUUCCCAAUGUUAAGUUUGCUUUUUUUGUUGUUUUGACCUCUCCUUGUCACAGCUCCACAGAAGGUCAGCUCGGUCUGUCUCUGUGCCAAAGCCUCGCAGCUGAGCAGUAGCAGCCAAGCCUACACUGCAUUUCAUCUGCCAUGAUCAGAACUUCCUUAGGUGCUCAUGGUUUAAAAAUUGGCCUUGUGUUGGUCACUGAGCAGCAUGGCUUUGGAAGCAGGUUCCCUUGGCUUGGCAGCUGCUCCACCGAGGAUCAUAUGGCAACAGCAGGGAGAAACUACCAAGCUGGGAUCUGCUGCCAGGGUUUUUCAGGGAUGCAGCUUCUGUGGGGUUGGUGGCACAGAAUGGUGGAGGAGGUGAUGUGUCUGGCAGUGCAUCCACCUCAUCCUCAGGAGGCUGAAGCCAUAAUGCACACAGAGAGCCGUGGUAGAAGCACUGAUGAACUUUGCUGGUGGUGUUUGGGUGGAGAUCACUGUUCUAGUUACAGGAGCUGGAACCACUUUAUCACCACGUGGGUAUAACCAAAAGUGUGUAUUCUACACCCUCUGUGUCAUUUCUGAGGGACUCUUAAUAAUGGAUCAUUUGCUGAAGCUGCCCAGGGCACACCUGAUACCUGAGGCUACAAGCUGGGUGUUAAAGAACCCUGUGAGGAGUGUUUCUUUGUCUUCAAACCCAUGACUCAGCUGUGAUAACUCCCCUCCAGGAGGCAUCAGCACCUUCACCUCCAGCCCAAGGGGGCAUCUCUGCUAGUGGACUGGCAUAACAGGCAGCUGCAACAACCUACAUCGUCAAAGUCUCCAAAAAUACUCCACAACUCGCUGAGUUAAAUCACCCACUGUGAAACUCCCUGCCCUGGGGGAGGUACUGGGCGUUCCCACCCGAACCUGAGCACGUAUCUUGGGGUUUUGGGACUUCUGGUACUGCUUGUCAGAUCCAGAGGAGGACCAGAAUUCCAACAGGACUGCGACUGUCACUCUUGACAAGACUGUGAUCAUCACUUCAACAGGACCAUCGUCCAGACCAACAGGUUUCUUUUCGUUUUCCUUUGCCCCUGGGGGGGGCACAUGUGGAGCUCAGCACAGCGGUGGAUGAACACCGUUCUGUUCUUGUCCCAGGGCGUGGGCUUAUACAUCUGUAUUUGUGGGUUAAAACCAGUUUUCCUGUAUUGUUGCAUUUAUUGUAAUUUUUUUUAUUUUUAGUAAAUUGUAACUUUGACUUGUAAUCUCUCAAGUUGGGUUCAUUUCCACCGAUUUCCUUUUAAACCGGCACAAUCACUCACUGCUCCCUAGAAAACAGUUUGGCCUUCUCAUCUUGGCGUGGCGGGAUGGACACGGACAGGGACAUGGGCAUAGACAUGGACAGGGACGUGGACAGGGACAGUGACAUCUCAUCCACGAUGAUGUUGGAACGGCAGAGGCUCAGUCCUCGGGCGCUGCAGCAGGUGCUGGG
Molecule: long non-coding RNA, 2207 nt
Organism: Manacus vitellinus (golden-collared manakin)
Lineage: Eukaryota; Metazoa; Chordata; Aves; Passeriformes; Pipridae
Source: Ensembl